Molecule: ribosomal RNA, 448 nt
Filed under: uncultured bacterium
Lineage: Bacteria
Description: bacterial SSU rRNA
Rfam family: Bacterial small subunit ribosomal RNA
Source: RNAcentral
UCCAGACUCCUACGGGAGGCAGCAGUGGGGAAUAUUGGGCAAUGGACGCAAGUCUGACCCAGCAACGCCGCGUGAAGGAAGAAGGCUUUCGGGUUGUAAACUUCUUUUAAGAGGGAAGAGUAGAAGACGGUACCUCUUGAAUAAGCCACGGCUAACUACGUGCCAGCAGCCGCGGUAAUACGUAGGUGGCAAGCGUUAUCCGGAUUUAUUGGGUGUAAAGGGCGUGUAGGCGGGAGCGCAAGUCAGAUGUGAAAACUCAGGGCUCAACCCUGAGCCUGCAUUUGAAACUGUGUUUCUUGAGUGCUGGAGAGGCAAUCGGAAUUCCGUGUGUAGCGGUGAAAUGUGUAGAUAUACGGAGGAACACCAGUGGCGAAGGCGGAUUGCUGGACAGUAACUGACGCUGAGGCGCGAAAGCGUGGGGAGCAAACAGGAUUAGAUACCCGCGUAA